RNAcentral lists this ribosomal RNA (442 nucleotides) under uncultured bacterium. RNAcentral describes it as "partial 16S ribosomal RNA". It matches the Rfam family "Bacterial small subunit ribosomal RNA", at positions 338 to 795 of the family's 1533-position model. The record is from RNAcentral.
CCUACGGGUGGCAGCAGUCGAGAAUCUUUCACAAUGGGCGAAAGCCUGAUGGUGCAACGCCGCGUGCAGGAUGAAGGCCUUCGGGUUGUAAACUGCUUUUCUAAGCGAGAAAUAUGAUGGUAACUUAUGAAUAAGAGUCGGCUAACUACAUGCCAGCAGCCGCGGUCAUACGUAGGGUCCGAGCAUUAUCGGGAGUGACUAUGGGUAAAGAGUUGCGGUGGGGGAAUUAUAAGUAGAUUGGGAAAUCUGGUGGCUCAAACAUUCAGACGAUUAGCUAAACUGUGAAGCUAGAGAACGUUAGGGGUAACGGGAAUUUUCGGUGUAGGAGUGAAAUGCGUAGAUAUUAGAAGGAACACUAAUAGCGUAGGCAGGUUGCUGGGACGGUUCUGACACUAAGGCACGAAGGCGUAGGGAGCAAAAGGGAUUAGAUACCCUAGUAGUC